Molecule: ribosomal RNA, 470 nt
Filed under: uncultured Lachnospiraceae bacterium
Lineage: Bacteria; Bacillati; Bacillota; Clostridia; Lachnospirales; Lachnospiraceae
Description: partial 16S ribosomal RNA
Source: RNAcentral
CACGUAGUUAGCCGGGGCUUCUUGGUCAGGUACCGUCAUUGCUUUCUUCCCUGCUGACAGAGCUUUACAUACCGAAAUACUUCUUCACUCACGCGGCGUCGCUGGAUCAGGGUUCCCCCCAUUGUCCAAUAUCCCCCACUGCUGCCUCCCGUAGGAGUUUGGGCCGUGUCUCAGUCCCAAUGUGGCCCGUCCACCCUCUCAGGCCGGCUACUGAUCGUCGCCUUGGUCGGGCCUUUACCCCGCCAACCAGCUAAUCAGACGCGGAUCCAUCUUGCACCACCGGUAGUUUUUCACACUGUCCCAUGCAGGACCGUGCGCUUAGUGCGGUAUUAGCUACCUUAUUUCUAAGUCGUUACUCCCCCAGUGCAGGCACGGUUACCCACGUCGUUACCUCCACCCGUCCGCCUACUAAGAUUGCUACUUGUAUUUACGACCGAAAUCGCAUCCUCCGUCGUAACUCCCCGUUCGAC